CUGGAUUGACAUAGUUUGUGCUAUUGUUCACAGCAGUUGUUGCUGUUUGGGUCAUGGGGAUAUAACUCGGUUGUAAUAAAAGAUUUGGCUGUUGCGCCGAUGACUUGUUAUAUGCAUUGUUCAUCAACGAAAGUUCCUGUGAGUUAUUAGAUUGACUUUGGGAGUUAUUGAAUUGCUUCUUCUCAGAGGAAGACUUUGCAUCUUUGAACACCAGGCCUAGCUUCUCAAAUUCAACUUUGGCUUUCAUAUAAUGCACGUCAGAUGGGAAUUUCACUUGAAAUCUUUUCAUCACCUAAAUUUAUUAACAACAAAAUACGCUUCAUCAACACUCCAUUUUUUUUUUUAAAAAAAGAGGCCUCAAUGUGAUUUUGAAUAAAUCUGCUUUUGUUUUACUUACAUUAUUAGUGAAAGCACGAAUAUUCAUACACGGAGCGCGUGAAAGCAGAGUUAGACAUUUUUCCUUCGUUCCCGGUAUCAAUUGGUGCCAGAGAUCUAACAAGUUUAUACUUUGCUGUUUGUUUGUUAAAAAUAUUGAAUUUUUCUAGCAAU
This is a non-coding RNA of Schizosaccharomyces pombe (fission yeast), 549 nucleotides long. The record is from the annotation of a GenBank genome assembly. Lineage: Eukaryota; Fungi; Ascomycota; Schizosaccharomycetes; Schizosaccharomycetales; Schizosaccharomycetaceae.